GACGAACGCUGGCGGCGUGCUUAACACAUGCAAGUCGAACGGAAAGGCCCUGCUUUUGUGGGGUGCUCGAGUGGCGAACGGGUGAGUAAAACGUGAGUAACCUGCCCUUGACUUUGGGAUAACUUCAGGAAACAGGGGCUAAUACCGGAUAGGAGCUCCUGCUGCAUGGGGGGGGUUGGAAAGUUUCGGCGGUUGGGGAUGGACUCGCGGCUUAUGAGCUUGUUGGGGGGGUAGGGGCUUACCAAGCGUUUGACGGGUAGCCGGCCUGGGAGGUUGGCCAGCCUCAUGAGGCCUGAGGUAGGGACCAGUCGCGUACGGGAGGCAGAGGGGGGAAAUAUUACGCAAUGGGCGGAAGCCUGAGGCGGCAGCGCUGCGUGCGGGAAGACGGGCUUCGGGUUAUGAACCGCUUUCGCCGGAGACGAAGCGUGAGUGACGGUAAUGAGUAAAGAAGCACCGGCUAACUACGUG
Molecule: ribosomal RNA, 468 nt
Filed under: uncultured bacterium
Lineage: Bacteria
Description: partial 16S ribosomal RNA
Rfam family: Bacterial small subunit ribosomal RNA
Source: RNAcentral